This 450-nucleotide ribosomal RNA is filed under the name uncultured rumen Ophryoscolecidae. Its description in RNAcentral is "SSU rRNA". It matches the Rfam family "Eukaryotic small subunit ribosomal RNA", at positions 161 to 654 of the family's 1831-position model. The record is from RNAcentral. Lineage: Eukaryota; Ciliophora; Litostomatea; Entodiniomorphida; Ophryoscolecidae.
GAGCUAAUACAUGCUAAGGCCGCAAGGUUGUAUUUAUUAGAUAUUCCGAUAAGGUGAAUCAUAAUAACUUCGCAAAUCUCAUAUUUGUUGAGAUAAAUCAUCCAAGUUUCUGCCCUAUCAUGCUUUCGUUGGUAGUGUAUUGGACUACCAUGGCUCUCACGGGUAACAGGGAAUUAGGGUUCGAUUCUGGAGAAGGAGCCUGAGAAACGGCUACUACAUCUACGGAAGGCAGCAGGCGCGUAAAUUACCCAAUCCUGACUCAGGGAGGUGGUGACAAGAUAUAGCAACGAGACUAUAAAUCUCGAUUGUAGUGAGGGUAUUCUAAAUAGAACCUAUAGAACGAUUAGAGGGCAAGUCUGGUGCCAGCAGCCGCGGCAAUUCCAGCUCUAAUAGCGUAUAUUAAAGUUGCUGCAGUUAAAAAGCUCGUAGUUGGAUUUCAAGGACUGUAUU